GACGAACGCUGGCGGCGUGCUUAACACAUGCAAGUCGAGCGGAAAGGCCCUUCGGGGUACUCGAGCGGCGAACGGGUGAGUAACACGUGAGUAACCUGCCCCAGACUUUGGGAUAACCCUCGGAAACGGGGGCUAAUACCGGAUACGACACAGCUUCGCAUGGGGUCUGUGUGGAAAGUUUUUCGGUUUGGGAUGGGCUCGCGGCCUUUCAGCUUGUUGGUGGGGUGAUGGCCUACCAAGGCGACGACGGGUAGCCGGCCUGAGAGGGCGACCGGCCACACUGGGACUGAGACACGGCCCAGACUCCUACGGGAGGCAGCAGUGGGGAAUAUUGCACAAUGGGCGGAAGCCUGAUGCAGCGACGCCGCGUGAGGGAUGACGGCCUUCGGGUUGUAAACCUCUUUCAGCAGGGACGAAGCGUAAGUGACGGUACCUGCAGAAGAAGCGCCGGCCAACUACGUG
RNAcentral lists this ribosomal RNA (462 nucleotides) under uncultured bacterium. RNAcentral's name for it is "partial 16S ribosomal RNA". It matches the Rfam family "Bacterial small subunit ribosomal RNA", at positions 28 to 507 of the family's 1533-position model. The record is from RNAcentral.